This 282-nucleotide long non-coding RNA is filed under the name Eucalyptus grandis. Its description in RNAcentral is "long non-coding RNA (EGRA_LNC003314)". The record is from RNAcentral. Lineage: Eukaryota; Viridiplantae; Streptophyta; Magnoliopsida; Myrtales; Myrtaceae.
GCGACGCUAGAACCUAGUUUUUUCUCCUUCUCCUUCCAAUCGGAAGCUGAGAAAUAGAGAGUACUCCAAUCUGGGCCUUGGUCUUUCUCCAGCCAUCUUCUCGUACUUAUGCAGUGCGAACCUGACACACCUGAGUUCUGUUAUGAUUUUAAUCAUUGUGAUUUCUGGGUAAAGUUUAUAGGCUUACAUUAUGGGAGAGUUACUUAUGAUGUUAUCGAGGCAAUUGCUUCCAAACUUGGAGUAGUUGUCGAAGUGAAACUGGAGGAAAAGGGAAAUAGCACC